Molecule: ribosomal RNA, 400 nt
Filed under: uncultured bacterium
Lineage: Bacteria
Description: bacterial SSU rRNA
Rfam family: Bacterial small subunit ribosomal RNA
Source: RNAcentral
GGGGAAUAUUGCACAAUGGGGGAAACCCUGAUGCAGCGACGCCGCGUGAGUGAAGAAGUAUUUCGGUAUGUAAAGCUCUAUCAGCAGGGACGAUAAUGACGGUACCUGACUAAGAAGCCCCGGCUAACUACGUGCCAGCAGCCGCGGUAAUACGUAGGGGGCAAGCGUUAUCCGGAUUUACUGGGUGUAAAGGGAGCGUAGACGGUGAUGUAAGUCAGAUGUGAAAACCCAGGGCUCAACCCUGGGACUGCAUUUGAAACUAUGUUACUAGAGUGCAGGAGAGGUAAGUGGAAUUCCUAGUGUAGCGGUGAAAUGCGUAGAUAUUAGGAGGAACACCAGUGGCGAAGGCGGCUUACUGGACUGUAACUGACGUUGAGGCUCGAAAGCGUGGGGAGCAAAC